ACAGGAGCGCACAUGCUUAUCUUUGUGAAACCAGGCUCCAUUCGCAGAGCUCACAUCUCAUCUCAAAUCACAACUCUGAGCUGCGUUACUGCUAAGUUUCCACCUAGCUCCGAGCAGAACCUGCUAGUUCAGGGAAGUUUCUGCACUUGCAGCAGACUUGGCCGUAUUUAUUAAAAUAAGCUACCACAACCUACAAGACAGACAACUCAAAAAACAUCCAUGUACCACAAACCCACUAGCUGAGAAUGAAUGAAUGGGGAAAAGACUGCAGCAAAAUAAGUAGGUUUUUUCCAACCUGAAUGCCCCAAAAGUAGUGCUAAGGAUCAGAUUCUUGGAGACACCGAAAUGUUCGUUAUCCCAAAGCUUUUUCAAAGUUUUGCAAUUUAUCCACUUUGCUAACGCGCUGAAAGCAACUGCUGUGACAGGCCAUCCCGAAGUUUGAGUUAAUCAGCUCCAUGCUAGAAGAUCAGAUCGCAAAUAACAGAGAACUCACAGAACAGUUUCACUCGCUGAAAGAGACAGAGUGCAAACACACACAAAGUAUGCACGGAAAGCAGCAAGGAAGUGACAAACGGAGCUGAAAGAGACCAGGUGACAAACCGAGCUGAAAGAGACCCGGUACACAAACGGAGCUGACACAGACCCGGUGACAAAUGGAUCUGAGCCCUCGGAAGGCAGGCACAGGACAGUGACUCGAUACCAGUGACAGCCCAGGGAACAAACGCCGCUUGUUCCCGGCUGGCCGCACUUCCGCCUCCUCCCCUCCCAUUCAAUCCCGGCGCUGCCGCUGCUCCCUCCAUCCCCAAGCCAUGCGGGCUCCAAAUACUUUCACCUCGGAGAGGGAAGCAGGCUGGAGAAAGCAUGUGAUCACACGCAGUCAAGAAUCUUGUUUUCCUUGGAGUGAAACUAUUCUUUUUACCUGUGAGAGGACAUGAAAGAAGUUUUCAUCUGAGGCAAAUGAAAAAUAUUCCACCCCCUUCCCACCACUAUCCACCACACCAACUCUGUAAAAAAUAAAAGGAAUGAGGCUGGAGAGAAACCAUCCUGAAAAGGAGAGAUAUGAGAUUUCACUUCGUUUUCUCCUUGGAGCAAAACUGAAGGUG
Molecule: long non-coding RNA, 1103 nt
Organism: Passer montanus (Eurasian tree sparrow)
Lineage: Eukaryota; Metazoa; Chordata; Aves; Passeriformes; Passeridae
Exons: 3
Source: RefSeq, a predicted model, not a curated record